UACAGAGGUCCCAAGCGUUGUUCGGAUUCAUUGGGCGUAAAGGGUGCGUAGGCGGCGCGGUAAGUCGGGUGUGAAAUCUCGGAGCUUAACUCCGAAACUGCAUUCGAUACUGCCGUGCUUGAGGACUGGAGAGGAGACUGGAAUUUACGGUGUAGCGGUGAAAUGCGUAGAUAUCGUAAGGAAGACCGGUGGCGAAGGCGGUCUGCUGGGCAGUUUCUGACACUGAUGCGCGACAGCGUGGGGAGCAAACAGG
This 253-nucleotide ribosomal RNA is filed under the name uncultured bacterium. RNAcentral describes it as "partial 16S ribosomal RNA". It matches the Rfam family "Bacterial small subunit ribosomal RNA", at positions 524 to 776 of the family's 1533-position model. The record is from RNAcentral.